CCAGACUCCUACGGGAGGCAGCAGUCGGGAAUAUUGGGCAAUGGAGGAAACUCUGACCCAGCAAUACCGCGUGAAGGAUGAAGGUCUUCGGAUUGUAAACUUCUGUUAUAAAGGAAGAAUAAAAUGACGGUACUUUAUAAGUAAGCCCCGGCAAACUAUGUGCCAGCAGCCGCGGUGAUACAUAGGGGGCAAGCGUUGUCCGGAAUGACUGGGUGUAAAGGGUGUGUAGGUGGCUUAUUAAGUUGGAAGUGAAAGCCCGGGGCUUAACUCCGGAACUGCUUUUAAAACUGGUUGGCUUGAGUGUGGGAGAGGUUAGUGGAACUCCUAGUGUAGCGGUGGAAUGCGUAGAUAUUAGGAAGAACAUCAGAGGCGAAGGCGACUAACUGGAACAUUACUGACACUGAAACACGAAAGGGUGGGUAGCAAACAGGAUUAGAUACCCUCGUAG
This 448-nucleotide ribosomal RNA is filed under the name uncultured bacterium. Its description in RNAcentral is "bacterial SSU rRNA". It matches the Rfam family "Bacterial small subunit ribosomal RNA", at positions 331 to 793 of the family's 1533-position model. The record is from RNAcentral.